CUAUUCUCAUAUCAGUCCCAUUCUCGAUCCCAACCUACGCCGCCGCACCUGCGUGUCGCCCUACCCAGCAUCGCUGCACUGCAACCUCUGCCUCCGUCCCUGUGCCACCGCACCAGCGGAAUCCAUGGCGGCCGCAGCUGCCCUGGUCUCCCUCCUGUCUGCCCGUCCUGCAUUCUCCCUCCUAAUCCCACUCCCGCACUAGCCCUGCCACACCCCCAAACCCUAGAUCCGGUCGGUCGGGAGAUCAAGAUGGCGGCGGCGGCGCUGGCGCCAUUCCCCUCGCGCUUCAAGCCGGCCAGCAAGGAGAUAAAGACGGCGGCGGGCAAGAGGUUCUCUAACCCGAAGCUGUUGUGGCGCCUCCUCCUACUGCCCCCAUCCAGUCGAGCUCCGGCGCGAUGAUACCUCCUCACGGCGGCCCCCAUCCCGUCGAUCUCCAGCGCGACGGCGCCUCCAUCAGUCAAUUGGAAUUAUAGGCAGCUCUGAUUGUUGCUUUUUCACAUUGAUUAAUGAUUAGUGCGUGUGUUGCACUCCCAUCCAUGCCCAAGAAGAGCCACGGGAUGGCUCCGUGAUUGAGUUAUGUGGUUGUGCCACUUCAAAUAUGGGAAGAAAGAUGAAGAUGCUGGUCCUUUGCUAUUGAUGUUUUUUUUAAUGGUUGACGACUUGCACAGAUCGCUUCUGCAAUAUUUGAGUUGGUGCCAUCUAGAACUACUGAUUUCGGUUGAUGUAGUUAUAAAUAGUGAAGUUCUGAAUUUUUUUCUGUGUUAAUGUUUGAUGAUGGUUUUCACUUCUACAUGAAGUUUCUGUUUUAGAAGCAUAUUUAUGCUCCUGUUGUUCACUGUUGGAUGAAGUUUAUGUUCCAGAAAUGCUCUUAUAUAUUGUUCACACCUGCAUAUACUGUUGGAUGAAGUUUUAUGUUUUGUAUCUGACAGUAUCAUUUUUUACUUUUAAAUGAAAAGAAUGUUGUCUCCUUU
This is a long non-coding RNA of Brachypodium distachyon (stiff brome), 971 nucleotides long. RefSeq lists it as uncharacterized. The transcript has 4 exons. The record is from RefSeq and is a predicted model, not a curated record. Lineage: Eukaryota; Viridiplantae; Streptophyta; Magnoliopsida; Poales; Poaceae.